RNAcentral lists this long non-coding RNA (3571 nucleotides) under Sus scrofa (pig). Its description in RNAcentral is "lncRNA (ENSSSCG00025068492.1, ENSSSCG00055002320.1)". Lineage: Eukaryota; Metazoa; Chordata; Mammalia; Artiodactyla; Suidae. The record is from RNAcentral.
GAGGAGAAGGCUGCUGGGGCUGCUGGGCAAUUCCCUCAAUGCCGGGAAUGGCUGACUGGGAGUGACAGGUUCUCCUUUUGUUUUGGACGUGGUUGUGUCCGGUUGUGACCUGAUAGCCACAUUGUGACCACCAGGAGAACCCAGCAGAGUAGAGAUGUGGAAACAUCUGGGUCCUAGCAACCACCACGGAGCCCCUGAAUUAACUACCCCUGGAGCUGCCCGGUCUUUGGACUUCUGCUCGUUACCGGAACUGUGAAUUUCCUUUUUGUUUUAGUCUUUCUAAGCGGAGUUUGCUGUUGCUUUCCGCGAAAUGUUCCCCAGCUGCCUCCCAGCCUGGUUGUCCAACAAUUCCGUGGUGACUCACUCUGCUUUUCAGCAAAUUCUUCUCCUGCUUAAGUCAGCCAGAGUCGAUUUCGUUUACUUGCAGCCUAGAACCCUGAUGAUCAAGAGGAGCGUCUGAAGGCGGGCCUGUCUGCCAACAGGACAAGUGGUGUUGAGACAGGAAUGAGGGAGUGUGCUUGGAGACAGAGAUGAAAGAAGGUGGAGCUCCAAGGGUUCCAUCCCCUCAGUUCACAGGACAAGAGCACAGCAGGGGUCAGACCUGAAGUGAUUUGAAUACCCAGCAGAAGAAUGUUGACUUUAUGCUUAAAGUCAUGAGAUUGUGACCAAUAGUGUCAUCGACUGGAAUUUACAGUGUAGGGACUUUGCCUGGACAUGGAACUUAGGGGCCUUGGGGAGGAGACUCUGGCAUCCUCUGAGCUCCUACUGUGGGCCAGUUGGGUCCCCACACUGUCUCUGCUAAUUCACACAGCUCCCCUCUGAGCGAAAUUAAUCUCUUUCAGACCAGAGGCCCAGGGUGCAAAUCAGGAAGCCACGUGCCCACCAGACAGCUGGUCAGGGGCACAGCGAGAAUUGACAGACACCAGCCCAGGCUUUUCCAGUUGCGUCCUGCUGCCUCCCCAUGCUUUAGAAGAGAGUUUGCACCCCGGGUCUGGUCCUGCCCAAAUCGUCCGUGCUGCUCCAGGAAGGAAGAAACCUCUACACUGAUCAGCAAACUGUUUCUGUAACCCACUGCCCAGGUCACUAGCUUUAAGGCUGUCUCGUCUCAGGGCUCUGAAGCUGAUAAGUGAUAUUCCAUCUUUUUAUGCGGCAUUAAUUUCACUAAAGCUUUUGCCAGAUGUCGAUGCUUGUCUGUGUGUAAUAAAGGAAGCUGAAGACAUUUUAGAGCACUGUGGGAGAAAGGUCAAACUCUUCCAGGCUCUCAGAGCAGCUGGGGUAGAUCUUAGACCCUGGCCUGGAAGGCAGAGUCUGGAAGCUGUACUGCCUCUACAGGUGGGGGGACCUGCCAGGAAUCUCUAAGCUGAGCUCACUGCCAGCCUUCUCAGCCUGAGCAGGAUGCACAGGAUGUGGGAGCCAUGAUGCUGUUGUAGAAGCCCAUGGGAAGCAGCAGAUCCUGCCCCCUGCAGGGGCUGGGCCCUCCGUGGAGAGAUGCUAUUUGAUUCUGUCGGUCACCCCUAAGGCGCCACGGUCCUGGCCAGCGACUCCAGCCGGCUCCCCAGGCGGUAACUCUGCUCCAGCGAUCCCAGUGCAGCCAAAAUCUUCCACGGGCUGAGAGCCAGCAGCCUCUUCUGGCCGUUCAGGAGCUGCCUGGCUGCUUCUGCCUCUAUCAGAAAGUUCUGGCGUGAGUUUACACUGCCAGGUUCAUCUGGAAACACACCAGGUGGCCAGGGCUCUUAGCAAGGACACCUGCGCCAUCUCAUGUCAGCCUCCUGUCGCAUCAGGGCUGGGGCCCUUGUCUGUGCACACAGAUUCACAGCAAACACGUGUCUCCACCAAAGCCACACACUUGUACACAGGCGGAGAGAGGUCGCUCUGGCUCGUCCUCCCACCCUGCCUUUCUUUCUGGUCCACACGCCUCGCAAAGUUGUGGCAAAGGCAUGCCUUUGGGAUCCCGGUCCCCAGUGCCCACAGAUGGAGGCCACAUGGAGGCCACGGAACCUGGGGAGGGGCAGGAACUCAGAGAGCACCCAGAGGGGUAAAGCGCCCAGGGGCCCCCCCUGGAUAACACACAGCCUGGGCGAGACUCCAGAACCCCCGCCCCAGGCACAGCGGUGUUCACAACACGAUGAGGAGGACGGAGUAUCGAGCGGUUGUCCUGGGCCAUAGUCAAAAGAUGCAAUCUGGCAGAAGCCGGUUUUCCUGCAAGUAUUUCCUGUGACGUUACCCCCAGGAAGGGGCGCUUUGAAUGUAGUGUUGCCGGAACUCGGCCUCUUUCAUCGGUGCCGACUAGAAAUGCAGAGACAGUGUUUGGGGCGAAGGAGAAAAAACAGCUUUAUUGCUUUACCAGGCAAAGGAGAGUUACAGCAGGCUCAUGCCUCAAAGACCAUGCCCCCUCAGGAGAGACUGGGGGAGAAGAACGGGGCUGCAGAUAAGGAUCGGGGAUUGGUGAGCUGGCGUUGUCUUCCAAGCUGGUGUCUGGCGGUCUGGUGGUGGUCUUUCCGGAAUGAAGGCGGCUUCCUGCACACCGUCCAUGUGUUGGGCGGUGUCCUUCUGUGGAAGAACUCAGAGAUAUCGUUGUCUGUGUUCCUGGAGGAGGGGCCAGGACCUGCCCCCAGACCACCGCUGUCAUUUCUUGACGGCUCCUCUCGGGCCUCUGCAUCCCCUCCCUUCCCCCUGUUAGCAACUGUUUGAACCUGCCCCUUGGAGCUCAGGGGAGGUCCUGGAGGCCAAGGCUUACUCCCUAAAAAGAAGCAAUGGGGGACACAGAAAGGUCUGUGUGCCCAGGAGCCCCACGGGGCACUCGCUCGGUUACAGCAGUGACAUUCCGCUGUCACCAUGCCACGUCCCACGUGAUUGUGAAUUCUUGGGGCCCAUUUCCAGAGGCAUUCACUUAAAUAUUGAUUGAAAGUUUUGCUCUGUCCUAGGCCCUGCUCUGGGCACUGGUGAUAUAAGAGCGACCGAGAGACAUAGGCCACUGGCCUCAUGGGGCUGACGUUUUAGAGGAAAACAGUGAGGGCCAUGCCAGGGGCGGGUGCUGCCACUUACCUGCCCUCUCAGCAGUUUGGGAAGAGCAGCCACGGGCCUUAGCAUCUGCCUUUGCCAGGCUCCACUCACAGUAGGCUUCUUGGGCUUUUAUAAGAUAAACAAGUGGGAAAUAAAAUAAGAUCUGGGAGUUCCCUGGUGGCUCAGUAGGUGCAGGGUCUGGUGUUGUCACUGCUGUGGCCCAUUUGAUCCCUGGUCCUGGAACUUCUUCAUGCCAUGAGUAUGGCCAAAACAUAAAAAUUUGAGGAGUUCCCAUCGUGGCGCAGUGGUUAACGAAUCCGACUAGGAACCAUGAGGUUGCGGGUUCGGUCCCUGCCCUUGCUCAGUGGGUUAACGAUCCGGCGUUGCCGUGAGCUGUGGUGUAGGUUGCAGACGCGGCUCGGAUCCCGCGUUGCUGUGGCUCUGGCGUAGGCCGGUGGCUACAGCUCCGAUUCGACCCCUAGCCUGGGAACCUCCAUAUGCCGCAGGAGCGGCCCAAGAAAUAGCAACAACAACAACAACAACAACAAAAAAGACAAAAGAAAAAAAA